UUGGAGGGCAAGUCUGGUGCCAGCAGCCGCGGUAAUUCCAGCUCCAAUAGCGUAUAUUAAAGUUGUUGCAGUUAAAAAGCUCGUAGUUGAAUUUCGGAAUCAAUUUGUUGGUCGUGCCUCGGUACGUACUGGUAUUAUUGGUUUCUACCUUCUGAAGAACCUUGAUGUCAUUAAUUUGGUGUCUUGGGGAAUCAGGACUGUUACUUUGAAAAAAUUAGAGUGUUUAAAGCAAGCAUACGCUUGAAUACAUUAGCAUGGAAUAAUGAAAUAGGACGUUUGAUUCUAUUUUGUUGGUUUCUAGGAUCGACGUAAUGAUUAAUAGGGAUAGUUGGGGGCAUUAGUAUUCAAUUGUCAGAGGUGAAAUUCUUGGAUUUAUUGAAGACUAACUACUGCGAAAGCAUUUGCCAAGGAUGUUUUCAUUAAUCAAGAACGAAAGUUAGGGGAUCGAAGACGAUCAGAUACCGUCGUAGUCUUAACCAUAAACUAUGCCGACUAGGGAUCGGACGAUGUUAAUUUUUUAAUGACUCAUUCGGCGCCUUACGGGAAAC
This 548-nucleotide ribosomal RNA is filed under the name uncultured Glomeromycotina. RNAcentral's name for it is "SSU rRNA". It matches the Rfam family "Eukaryotic small subunit ribosomal RNA", at positions 548 to 1098 of the family's 1831-position model. The record is from RNAcentral. Lineage: Eukaryota; Fungi; Glomeromycota.